This 546-nucleotide ribosomal RNA is filed under the name Triticum aestivum (bread wheat). RNAcentral describes it as "partial small subunit ribosomal RNA". Lineage: Eukaryota; Viridiplantae; Streptophyta; Magnoliopsida; Poales; Poaceae. The record is from RNAcentral.
AUGGGUGCGCACUGGACGCGUCGGGCACGUCGGGACCGCGGGCGCGCGUACGAGCAUGCGGUUGACGUUGGAGGAGGCGUAUGUCGCCGUUGUGCUCGAGUCCGUGCUCGAGUUCGCCUACAUCCUUCUGGCGUUUGUCGUUGGCGGCUGCCAUGGCGGACGCGUAGGCAGCGCGCGGUGAGCGACUGGUGCGGUCGGGCUCGUCGGGCGCGUCGGGUGCGCGCGGGACGUGCGGGAUGCACUGUUGCGGUCGGGCGCGUCGGGUGUGCGCGGGACAUGCGGGGCGCCGAGGGACGCCAGGCGUGUGUCGCGGUGGAGAAGGAGCUCGGCGUGUGUCGCCGGAGUCGUGAUAGAGCACGGUGUGACCGGCGUCGUUGCGCCAGGUCGGGUCCGCGGGCUGGGUCACGAUCGUGGCGACAUCAACGACGGAAGCUGCAACAACUCCGACAACGACGAUGUCAUGGCUUAGAGGGAAUGUACAAGAAGGUGAAGGGAUUGCUGCAGCUGAUCCAAGAAGAUGGCCACUCCUUUGAGUUUCUGUCAUAG